GAUUCACAGGACAGCAAUCUCCCGUUCCCCAUUCUCUCCCACGACAAACCCUAGCCGCCGGCCGCCGCUGUGGCCCGAUGCCACUCUCCCCGUGAGACCGUGAUGACGGCCGCACCAAGGUGCCGCGCGCCCUGAUCGAUGAAUCCCGACGCCCCGAGCCGCCCUCAGGACCGGUGACGACCACGACCAGCAUCCAAGCCGUCAACCGUCGUGCCCCGUGCAUCGCGCUAUGCGUCGCUCCAUUGCCUGUGACGCGGCCAUCCAUCCCCGACCACCAUCUAAGCUGGAGUUCUUCACCAUCUUGUCCUCUUCCAUGCUGGUCGCCGGUUGGCCGCCUACUGUCCUUUUCAGUGCUCCACCUCGCAUCUAAAGGUAAAACUCAGCAAGAAGGCAUGCUCCUCCGUCUUAGGAUUUCAUCAUUCCACAAAGCCCCGUCCGCGUCAUUGCAUAGCGGAGGUCUGAGAUUCUUAUGCCCUUGAUUGCUGAGAUGUGGCCGGCGAUUGAGAACCUAGAAGAGUCCAGCAGCAAUAUGUCGCCGAACGAUGGCUGGGCAGUUGUAGUCAUUGGCAGUGAGGAGCAUCGGUAAUGGCUGGCUGCUGCUGCCCUCGACACUGAUGUUCAGGUGGAUAUGCAAGUAUAAUGUACGCACAUGAUCAAUCUAUGUCCAUAUCGUCAACAUUAUAAGCAUUAGUGGACCGUAUAUGCUUUUGCAUGAUUGAGCCAUCUCAGCUAAGCAAUGAAGCAAAAGUUCAGGUGCUCAUUGCUAAGCCACAUGCAGACUUGAGUAUGAAAAGCAACUGAUCAUCAACUACCUACAGAAUGUACUGCACCCGCGAGGAAUAUACUGGCCGUCUCGAUGUCUGGUAGCAGUCCAGGGCGGCUGCUGUUUCAGUUGGUAGUAGGGGUGCUGUCAGCAGUAUAUAUAGUGCUGAUUUUCUAUUUUAAGAUCUUCAUGUGAAUCUUGUUGCUGGUGAAGUGGUGAUUAUAUAUACUUCUGAUUUUCU
This is a long non-coding RNA of Triticum aestivum (bread wheat), 1004 nucleotides long. RefSeq lists it as uncharacterized. The transcript is spliced from 2 exons. The record is from RefSeq and is a predicted model, not a curated record. Lineage: Eukaryota; Viridiplantae; Streptophyta; Magnoliopsida; Poales; Poaceae.